Molecule: non-coding RNA, 924 nt
Organism: Camelina sativa (false flax)
Lineage: Eukaryota; Viridiplantae; Streptophyta; Magnoliopsida; Brassicales; Brassicaceae
Source: RefSeq, a predicted model, not a curated record
CUCUCUUUUUCUCUCGCGAUUGCGAGAAAACAAAGAAUUUUGUGUGGAAUCCUCUGGGUGUGGAGGAAGAGGAGAUUGCUGUCAGCUCUGAUUGCAUGUAGGAGAGGCGAUUCGAUUAUCAUCAUCUCCACAUUCCGAGGCUCGUCAUGAUGAAACCCUAACAAUUCGGUGGUCACCAUCUGCGAAUUCAGUGAACCAAAUCCACAACAACUUUCAGAUUUUUUCAAGGAUUCGUGUGUGAGGUUGCUGAAAUCAUAAGCACCCGAAGAAGGCAAAUCGAUUAUGGCAAAGGAAGAAAGGUCCCGUCGUCUCUCUCGUGUCAACCUGAUUUGUUCCACAGUGGUGCAAUGAUGGGUCUUAUGUUACACACUAAAGCAAAAAGUUUAAUAGAAAUGGAAAUGUAUUCCGAUGCAGUUGAAGUGCUUGCUAUGGCAGAGGUUAGUUGCUGGGAAUCAGUUUUUUUGUUCUAUCAAUAAUGUGUACUAAUUUUUGUUGCAGUCGACAGGAGAAAGAAGCAGAGAAUGGGGGUGAUGGUUCGAGGAGAGGGCUUUGGUUCCCUGCAAAGUCUCCACGAACAGAGCUCUUGCACCGUUUGUGCGAUGGCUUUCACAAGGCAUGCAUAGAGCAGCAGUACCACCACCUCGACCUCAUAGACCUGCUGCGACAGCUGAUAAUGAUCCCGCAGCUGCUAUGCCAAUAAAUGAAGAUGCAGUUCCAGAGGGACAAGAGAAUCAAGCUGAUAACGGGAAACGAGCAAAUGAAAAUGAAGAUGAAGAUGAAGAUGUCGAUGCAGAGAACUAAGUGAAUCAAUGGUGGAAAAUAGUGAAAGAGAUUCAAAUGAUAGUUUUUGGCUUCAUAAUUUGCACUUCUAUUGUAAUAUGUAUUAAUAUUUGUAUUAUGUUUUGUAUGUUUGAAAAUUAAUUA